Molecule: long non-coding RNA, 1740 nt
Organism: Diceros bicornis minor
Lineage: Eukaryota; Metazoa; Chordata; Mammalia; Perissodactyla; Rhinocerotidae
Exons: 3
Source: RefSeq, a predicted model, not a curated record
CCGCCCUGACGUGGUCUUUGCGUCUUUCCGGCUUCGUUAUGGUAGUACGACUGAGCCGCGUCUUUCUGGAGAAGAAGCUACAAAAAGUUGCACCCAAGCUAGUUUGAUGCCUGCCCUGUCAAGUGUCCCUGAUGCUUGGUCCUGAAGGCAAUAGAGGAUUGGUGGCCCAGUUCACCCUGGUGCUGUCUGCUGAGAUGUUCAGAAUUUCCAAAAUUGAAGAUGGGCAUCAGGUGAGAAAGAUUCUUCCUGAGCUAACAUCUGUUAUCGUCCUCUUUUUUUUUUUGUCUUGAGGAAGAUUAGCCCUGAGCUAACAUCUGUGCCAGUCUUUGUCUAUUUUGUUUGUGGGAUGCUUCCACAGUGUGGCUGAUGAGUGGAGCAGGUCUGGCACCUGGGAUCCGAACCCGCGAAUCUGGGCUGCCAAAGUGUGUGCGGAACUUCAACUACUUGGCCACAGGGCCAGCCCCCCUUUUAAUUUUAAUGUAAGUUGAAAUACAGAUACUCGAUUCAGUUAUUGGAAAACUCUUAAAUGUGUCUGGAAUAACUCGGUAUGCAAAUAUAUUUUUUCAAUAGUGAAUUUUAUUAAAUCUAAAUGUAGAUCAAGAAUUCCUGAUGAAAAUUUAGCAUCUGAAUUGAGACGCUCUUAAGUGUAAUAUACACGGCAGAUAUUGAAGACUUAGUACAAAAAAAAGGCUCAGGCAUUUCCUCAUCUAUGAAAUGUGAUUGACAGCACCUGCACUGUGAUGAUCCUACAAGCAAUCUAUUUGAAGGAGCAUUGUCAAUUGCAAAUUUUACAUCAUUUUGUUACUGGAGCAUUUACAAAGGCUACUAAUUAAUGGUAGGGUGGAAGAGAGGAGGAGUACUAGAAAAGAGUUCCUGCGUCACAAAGUAGAAACUACGCUGGUUCUCUGAGGAGCCGGACAGUGGUGUGGUAACGACGAGGGACCACGGGGCACUACAGGAUCUGCUUCUGAGCCCCGCUGUCUGAUCUCUUCUUCCUGUCUUACUUUCCUCCAGUCCCACUGCCUCUUUACUGUCUCUAGAUCACACCAGUCAUGCUUGCUGUGAUCUUCUCCCAGGUACCAGCAUGCCUCACUCCCUUAUUUCCUUCAGAUCUCUGCUCAAAUAUGACUUUUAUCACAGAAGCUUUCCUCUGGGUCCUACAUAAAAUGCCCCACCACUUUCACCCUACAUCAAUCUUCAUCCCUUUAGUCUGCUUUAUUUCACUUCACUACCACAUGACAUAUUCAUUGUUAUUUUCUUCCCAUUAAAACAAGUUCCAUGAGAGCAUGAACUUUGUCUCUUAUUUAUUGCUUCAGCCCUAGAAGCUGUAGUAUAUAGAUGUAAACGAGUGAAUAGAUUGGGCUGGGAGCAGAGUAGCUGGGUUCCAGUCCAUCCUAACUAUGUUAACAUGGACAAGUCUGUCAAUUCUUGCAUUUCACUUUUCUCAUUUGUAAGUAAGAGAUGAUACCAGUUUUAUUUUUCACUCAGAGUAGUUGUGAAGAUUAAUGGAAGAAGGAGGAAACUUAUUUAUGAGCAUCUGCUACUGGGAAUGCAUUGCUGCAAGUAAUUUGCAUAUAUUAUCUAAACCCCAUAUCAGCCUGAUAAAAUGGAUAUUAGUAUUCCCAUUUUACAAAUUAAGAAACCGAGGCUCAAAGAGUUUGUGACUUGUAAAACCAAAGUGAUGAAAGUGUGUGAAAUAAAUAUUAGAGAUAUAAAACUCUUUGCAAUAAAGAAUGAAAA